CGAGGAAAUCAAGGAAAAUGGUUCGAUACUCACGCCAUCCUCCCUCGCUUCCAAAAAUCAUCUUUCAUAAAUUUCUACUCUGCAACCUUCUUCAGCCUUGAUCGAAAAAACCAUCUUCGAUCCAUCUCCUCACGAAGUGAAGCUCUCAGUAUAGAGUGUCGUGUGUAUCAGUCUUGGUUCUUUCAGGAAUUCUUGCAGAAUUGAUGCCAUCUCCCUGUAGAGAAUCUCUAAUGAACAGCUUAGAAGAGUCAUUUGAAAUUAUUUAUUAUGUCGACCAGAAGAUUAUUGAUAAUACAAGCAUGGAUGAUGAAACAACUGGUUCCGAAGUAAGUUUCUCUCUCCUAAAUUCAAGGGCUGCUCCUCAUUAUUGAAGAAAUUCGAGGAAUCCGAUUUGGAGCAACAGAACGGCUGUUGGGUUAUUCUUAGGGAUGCUCUAGACGCUAUAGAAGAGAAAUAUGAUCUAGAUGUUCAUUAUCAGUAGAUCGGAAGCUCCGAAGAACCUCCAAAGCAAAGCGAGAUCUAGGGUUUCCCGAAGACACAGACGGAGACGAGGAGAGAGAGAGUUAAUGGGCUUCAGCCUAGAAACCUAUUGACAAACUUUAAUGGAUUUGGACUUUAGGCCCAUCAUCAUAUUACCCUAAUGCCUAAUGGAUCAUGAGCAAAACCUCUCUGCCACCCUUACAUGGAGCCCACCAACUCUCAACAAAGAAUUCACACAGUAGAGGUCCAAGGGGAUGGAGACGAAUUGUGAUCAUGGUGGGCUGGAUGGACAUUUUGGGCCUUUGGACUCUUCCAGUGUUUGCCUACAUUUAUACAAAGUCCAAAACCACAGUCGGUCCAUAGCAGACUCUUUUUGUAAUUGAGCCCAAGUCCAAGCCCAAGCCCAAGGAUGCUGCUGAGUGCGCUCUCUAUGCCGCAAAUGUUGUGGUAACUUGCAAUCAAUUCCAUCUCUUCCGUUUAUCGCUGUUCACAUCUUUUAGUGCGCGUCCUUAUUCCGUUUGUUUAGAGAUUCCUUCCCCGUAUCUUCAUUGACGGGUUUUUUAAAUUUACUGGCUUUAUAUUGUAGGUUAUGGUUGAUGUAUAUAUGUGGGGUAACGGGUUGUCAAGAAGCUGUGAGAGUUUUGGUUUUUGGUACAUAAGCUAUGAAAGUUGAAAGCAAAGAAAAAUGUUUUCCCUCUUGCAAACAAAUGCUGGAAAAUGUUAUUGUAA
Molecule: long non-coding RNA, 1209 nt
Organism: Macadamia integrifolia
Lineage: Eukaryota; Viridiplantae; Streptophyta; Magnoliopsida; Proteales; Proteaceae
Exons: 2
Source: RefSeq, a predicted model, not a curated record